Molecule: non-coding RNA, 5054 nt
Organism: Doryrhamphus excisus (bluestripe pipefish)
Lineage: Eukaryota; Metazoa; Chordata; Actinopteri; Syngnathiformes; Syngnathidae
Source: RefSeq, a predicted model, not a curated record
CCCGCGACCCUAGUGAGGAUAAGCGGUACAUAAAAAGGAUGGAUGGAUGGAAGUACAAGAUGUUUCAGACUUCCAGACAUUUUUGAACGUUUUAAUGUGGGUCAAAAUGUACAGGACCAAAGGCAAAUGUACAGUAUUGCAAAAAUUUGCAUUUUUUUGCUGCAAUUUCCCGCAAAAUAAUUAGUGAAACCACAACUUUCUAGUGUCUUAAAAGUUAAAUUGUGUGAAAUAAGUGAAAUUCCAUUCUAUUCUCUUAUCCGGAGAAUAUCCUUUCAGUGACCUGCUUAUCCGGGUCCAGGUCACGUGGGAGCAGGCUCAGUAGGUAAGCCCAGACUUCCCGGUUCCCAGCCCAACUCCUCCUGCUCCACUGGGAGGACACCAAGGCGUUCCCAGGCCAGCCAAGGAGGUGUCCAGACUAGAUGCCCGAGACACCUCAACUGGCUCCUCUCAAUGUGAAGGAGGAGCGGCUCUACUCUGAGCCCCUCCCGGAUGACUGAGGUCCUCACCCUAUCUCUUAAAGUGAGUCCAGCUACACUGCGGAGGAAACUCAUUUCAGCUGAGGAGUGUGAUCCCCUAUAGUGGGAACACGCCCUCCGGUCACCCUUCUUGAAAAGGGGGACCACCACUGCAGUCUGCCAAUCCAAAAGGUACUGCUGUAUUUGUUUGUGAAAUGAAAAACAUUCAUUUCAAUGGGGAAAAAAACUAGGAGGUUUCCCACUGCAAUUUAUUUAGUUAGCAUGUAGGAAACUACAAUCCAAAUAGUAGCUAGUGUUCUGUCCUUUUUAGUGGCCAUUUUUCAAUUCCUUUACUCAACAUAUUGUUAGCCGACCACAAGUUUGUAAUUGCACGAUGGUUUUCCAAAACAUCUUGAGCUCCUCUCUCGGCAUGCUGCGCCACACUAAACGCAUCACCCCUCCGCGACCCAAACAUUUGCCUUACAUUAAUCAUUAUAAUUCUUCCAGUCAGGCGUCCUGUCUUAAAUCAUCUGCUCCACAUUAGCCAUGAGAAAGAAGCACAUACACACACACACACACACAAAAGGCUAGUUCAUCGAGAGGAGGGCGCUCCGUUACAAACUGUUAACCUUCUUAAAUGGUGUGAGCUGGUUUGUACGUGUACGUGUGUGGAGGGGUUUGUAUUGCUGAAAAAAAAGGCACGAGGAUCUGCCUUGUGGGGAUGAAGAGACAAGAAGAACAAGGAGUGUUUUAGAGGAUCUUUCGCCUUGCGGGAAAGUGAGGCCUGGUGUGGAGCGAAAGGGUGGCCGACCUCAGCUGUUUGGGGACAUAUGCAUGAAAGCUCUCUUUGUAUUUCACAUGUGGGCGGGAAAUAGUUAAACAUUUUGUCAAAUUCCUACUUCACUUGAAAUGAAUCAUCUCCAAAAAAUAAUAAUCCGGCUUCCCUCUGUCACUGAUCUCAACUGUGGAGAAUGUACACCAAAAGAAUUGACAUCUGUGAGCCAUUUCAAAAUAAGACUUAUUACCUGUUGAGUCUUUCUGACACACACACACUAUUACACUGACAUCAUCAUGGCCUCUUUUCUGCUGAGUUGCGUCUUUACUCGCAACAGUUGGGCAUGAUUAACUGAGUUGGGCAUUAUUAACUUCAUCAUUACUUGAAGCAUUUGAGGCAAAAUUGAGUGCACUACUUGAUGGCAACCAGCAGAGGUGCUCUUACACUUCUGCUUGCCAUCCACUCUAAGUCAUUUGUUGGCAGCCUAAAAGGAAAAAAGGCAAUAAGAUGCAAAAUGGACAAGAAAUCACAAUUAGCUGCUGUAGGAUGUUUUUUUCCAAAUGUAGAUUUUAAAGAAGCAGCGGCAACAAAAGAGAAUAUAACAUUAUUGUUAAGUCAGAGUGACCAACUGGGGGCUCAGACAGCAGUCAGUCAUUUGACUGCUUGUGACCUUCUCACCUUACCCGUGGAAACAACCCGCUCCACACAUUCUCCCGACUUGCUUGUUAUUUGACGUGAAAUAAAACCUGAACUAAGCCCACAUAUUAAGCCAGACCCUAUGCAUUUUCAGCUGCUCUUAUCUCACGCACCAUCAGCCAUGCAGAGGCUUGACUUUUGUGGCACCUCCUUGCGAAGCUGAAACAUUCCCUGCUGGUGUUAGCUUCGGCGCCCAUGGACUCUUUCCCCUCAAUCUGUGAUUAAAUUCACAAAGAGCUGCUAUAUAAACAGUCCGGCAUCUGGGGGACGGAAAAAUCUCUCGCCACAGGAACGUGGCUGAGUCUUUCUGUUAUUAAUAUUUCAUACGAGUGCAGGCGGACGGCGAGAAGGAGGGAGUGAGGCGGGGUCACGGAAGAGUCAAUACUUUUUUUGUAUAGUGAAAGAAUACAGCUUUGCACUUUAUGUGGCAAAAGAAUGUCAGGCUGUAGAGUAGUUCUUAUUUAUAAGGAAAAAAAAUCUUUCCUUGUAUCCAAUAUUUUCUUUGAAAACAUAGACUUUCUGAGCCGGAGACAUGCAGGAUUAAUCCCACUCUGUUGGUUUUGUCCUUUCAUUCCAGCUGCCUAAUAACCUGUCAAAACAGCUCGAGCAAGAGACCCCCCAACCCCCGUCUCUCUCCACACACACACACACACACACACACACAAACUCCCAGACCUCAUUUUUUUAAAGAAAGAAAAUGAAGUGUAGCCUGUCCUCCAUUAGCCAGAGAGAAGGCUAAGCAUUGUGUCAGUGGAAGGUCACAAGAGGGCCCUGUGUUCAUUACCUGCCAGUAAAGAUGGAGGCAUGUUGUCCAGGUGCAGGCCAGACUGGUAGAGGUGCAGGAUAUGUUCAAAUGUCUCCAGAGUCUCAUUCAUGUUGGCUUUCAGUUCACCUGGACACAACACGCAUGCAAUGUAUUCAGAAUACAGUGAGAGAAAAUCUCACCAUGUCUACGUGCACUAUAUAUGGAAGCUGAUCAGGAAGUGAACCUGGAAGAAAGUAAGUUCCACUCUCCUGGGAAGACAUUCAACAAGAAUCUGGAGUGUGUCUGUGUGGAAUUUUUGGCUCCAUUCAUCCAGAAAAGCAUUUGUGAGGUCAGAGGUCACAGACAGACGAGGGGGGGCCUGCUGGUCUUUGGGAGCAUUUGGAAGUUGGAAGCGUUGGAUAGUCCAAAAUGUCUUGGGGAAUUAAGGCAUCUAUGUCAGCUCCUUAUUGAUUAACUGGAAAAAAGCAUCCUUGUAGAUGACUACAGUGCAUUCCACCAGGCAUUCCUCAAUUGAUCAAGGUAUUGGAUAUGUACACUAUACUGUAAUAACUGGUGUCUUAGAAUAUUCAACUAUUUGAAUCGGAGGAGUCUCAUUCGACUAUCAAUCUCACCAUUGACUCAUAUGAAAAUGUUAUGUGAUCAAGAUUGUACCAUUCUGACUACAUCGGGGGUUCCCACGGCCACGGGUGAGCAUACAUUUUUACAUGGAAUGACUUUGUUUUUGUUAUAAAAUAGCAAAGAAAACCUAUGCUUAUGCAAGAUAGAGGCAUGUUUUUUUGUAUUUUGUAGUUCAUUCAUUCAUUAAUUUUCUACCGCUUAUCCUCACAGGGGUCACGGUGGUGCUGGAGCCUAUACCAGCUCUCUUUGGGCGAUAGGCGGGGUACACCGUGGAUUAUAUCCUGCCUCUUCCUGCUUCCCUCACAUACGCCGCGAGACGAGCAGCUCAGGGUGAAAUUUCGGUGUGGAAACUGGAGGGAGCAGUCGGCAUCGGACCGGCAGGUGGUUUCGGCUGCGCUGGCAUCAUCGAGAUCGCCCAGCAAGCCACGCUCGGAUCCCUGCAGUGUCAGCUGGGCUUCUGUUGACUCCCACACUGUGAGUAUACCUGCCAUGGGGGGUUGAGCUAAAGCUAUGUGUGUGUGUGUGUGUGUGUGUGUAUGCUGAAAUGACAUUCCUAGCCUGCAGUGGAUUAACUCUUGGUCCCAUCUCCAUUCCAACCGGGGCCUGAUCAAAUACACUGAGGGGCAGAUGUCAGACCUCCUAAAGUUUCACGGUUCCACCUCUCAUCCCACAUGCCUUACCAUGCAAAAACAGUGACCUUUGAACUGAGUGACAGCACAGCAAGGCAGAAUGAGACUUUGGGAAGGUGUGAAGACAUGAAAUGAUGCGGCACACGGUCACGCGGCCGCCGGAUGUGAGAAAGCUGUCAGUUUGGCGGUGAUAGCUGCACCAUGUGGUUUCAGACGGAUAGUAAAAGGAGACACGUUGUCUGUUCCGGAAAAAGUGCCCCCAAAAGGUCAGGAGGGGGUCAACAGAUUUAAUGUAAUUAGAAGGGAAGGUGCAGGAUUUGCAGCGAGUGUGAGACAAAGGGAACAUGUGACAAAAAAAAUCGAACACAAUAUGGAGUUCAUAUUGUGAAAAAUAUGUGAGGAUGUUUUUUCUACACCAAACUCAUCCAAGAAUACCUUUAUGAGCAUCAUACUGUUCCGACAAAGUCCCCAAAUGAUGACCAAUUAAGAUUUAAGGGCAAAAAAAGGAGGUUUGAGCGUUGAAAAGGAACAAUUAUGCUCAAAAAAACAAAAUCAAAUCUCUCAUCCUAACAGCAAAGUAAAAUAUUAUUAAGUAAAUAAAAAUUCCAGUCUUGUGUGUAUAAGUGUAUAUUGUCUACUCAGCGUUUCCUUAAAGAUAUCUGUUAAUAUUUGGUAUUUUAUCUUAGUAUUUAUUCUCAUUGCAUUGUACUGAUGUCAGAAGGCUUCCUUGAAAGACAUUUAUCUAUGAAAUAGAUCUUUUUACAAAUAUUUUAGCCAUGUAAAAGUGAAGGACGAUGUGUAAGUCAUUUCUCAUUCACUAAAGUAAUGGUUUUAUUUCAUUUGAACGUGCAUCAGAUUACAAGUGAAUGCAUCACAUAAUCAGUUCACAGUUCCACAUGUCCAAAAGGAGUCGGAAGAAGCAAAGCUUAUUAAAUCCUACCCCUCCAUAUGGUACUUUUACAAUCAGUAACUGUUACAUUUGUUCACUUCCUGCUUUCCUAAUAUAAUUUGAAUUUUUUUAAUUACAUUUUUUUAUAAUUUAGUUCUUCCCUGAUAUCAUAUUUCUCCUCUCUUGUAGAGAAGUAUUGGAUGACAUUUUUAGGUAUUUGGUUAUU